Cygnus olor (mute swan) is the source of this 3903-nucleotide long non-coding RNA. RefSeq lists it as uncharacterized. The record is from RefSeq and is a predicted model, not a curated record. The transcript has 2 exons. NCBI's taxonomy places the organism in Eukaryota, Metazoa, Chordata, Aves, Anseriformes, Anatidae.
CCUCAGGCUCGUGUCAGGCUUUUGCUCUACCUCUAACUGGGCUUCGCAGUAACUGCAUAAACUGUCCAUGUCAGACAAAUUUCUGCACGUCUCCUCGUGGCACCUCCUGCUACAGGACACCUUUGAGCACUUCUUAGACAUCCUUGUCCCUUAGGGGAGCCAGCCCAGCCCAGCGGGUGGCUGGAAGGGACGAAGCACGAAGGUUAAACAGCAGCAGGUUUCUCUGCAGCACUGAGCCUGAAGCACCUCCCGAGCCCACACGGCUUCCCUUCACCGGGGGGAGUGGAAUUGGGCCCUAUCUUGCUUCCACCGCUCCCAGGCGUGGCAUUGGGCAGGGCAGGGCCUGUGCCCGCCGUUGGUUCUGGGGCCACACAGAGAUAUCCCCGUUCCUCGAGGGCGCGCUGUCCCCUGGGACACCUGAGGAAUGUCUCGGUGACCGCAACAUGCAGCCGGCAAGGCCUGGCACGGGGACAUGGAGCCCUGAGGUGCAGGAGUCCCCCACACUUACACCCACAAUGCUCCCACCGCCCGUUGUGAGCGGCAGUUGGGACCAACAGCUCCGUGCCCGCAGGGCCGGAUCCUGCUCUCCUGGUGCCACACCAGAGGAUCUAACUGCUGCUGUUGGCCUACGAACUUCUGGAGGUCCAGCCAAGCUUUUUCCCAAACCAAACUAAACCUUGCUGCAUUUCUGGGGUGAAACUUCUUAUUUGUGUUGCAGUUCAGCAGGGGAAGAGGGAUACUGCCCCUUUUUUCUGUUCAGGCUUCGCAUCCUGCUUCUCUUCUCUUUACCACCAACCUGCAGGGACGAGGGCAUGGAGACGUACAGUGCCAUCGAGAUCUCCGCAUUGUACCCCUCGCCCUUUCAUUCCCGGGUACCAUGACUAUUAUUAGCCCUCUCCUGCUGGGGGCAGAUCCAUAACAACAGCAAAACACACUCAACAGCCCUGCCGGGCUUGUAAAAUAUUUACAGCGUGAGAUGGUUUGCUGCCGAGGGGGCCUGGUAGAGCACAGAGACGGCAGCACUGGGAUUUCUGUGCUCUCUGCGGUCUGCUGUGAGGUUCCCUGCUGCGAGAGCCUCAUCCAGCCAGGAGGGAAAAAAAUCCCACAGGGCAAUAGCCAGCACUUGAGGUCAGGGGGUUUCCACCAACUGUCUGACAGCUUCCAGCUGGAAUUUCAGCAAAUUUUCCACUGGCUCUUGUCUGGGAACAUGCGUGAGAGGUUGCACACCAAAGUAUGAGGGCUCCAUAAUGGGGUUAUCAGGGCUAGGGAGUAUUUUUAGAUGUGUGCCAGUGCCUUUAAGACCUCACUACGGCUCAAGACCCCCGUGUCUUGGAGCUUCGAUCUAGGGCCAGAAACCAGGGUGACGCCGUGGAAGCCCUGCAGGGUGCCCAGUCCUGGUGCUGCUGGUAGGGCUGGCCGCAGGGCCUGCUCAUGGCACAGAGCUCCCCUGCCCUCCUGCUGGGCCUGCAUCCUCUGAAACGUGGUGGUGGCCUUGCCUCUGCCCAAACUGAUGUGCUCUGAGCUGCAGGGCCCCCAAUUUCAUGGCUGGGAGAGAAAACAGGCAACAGCCUGAUCUCCUGCCAAGGCACGGGUGUCCAUCUCACGUGCUGAGCGGCGUGGAAAAGCCUCACUGUGCUGGGGUGGUGAAGAAAUGCCAAGGUUGGGCAUGUCACAUUGGUAUUUUUGGAAGGCUUUUGCUGUGGGAUUCCUCAUAGUAACUCUGCACCCUCUGGCUCUGACACUAAACGCAGUGAAUUCAACCAGCCCCGACAUCACGGCGUCUCCUUCCACUGCAGGGAUUCUGCAAGAACAGAGCUUUUAGGGUUCUCUAGGACUUGGUGGAAAAAUAUCAUUCACAGAGCAGAAGAAGAGGCACAGCAGGGAGAUUGAGGCUCAGUGUGUGAAACAGAUCCCAUCUGUUGCUUUGGCCUUGUUUUGUGGCAGGAAGAUCGCUUGAGGCCUGUAGAGCUGGUAACUCACUGCUUAGCCUCUGAUUUAAGAUGUGGCUUAGCCUGACUCCUGUAGGACUUAGGACUUCACACCCUUUGCAUUUAGCUUCUCCCUCAGUCCUGCCCUUCAGCACAUCCCCAGCCUGGUCUUGGGGACCCCUGCUCUGUGUCUCUGUGGGGGAACGGGGGAGAUCGCUCAGCCCCCCAGCCCACAAUGACAACUUCUUUGUUAGCGUUACUCAGCGCCGAUCUCCCCACUGGCCUGGAUCAGGCUCCAGCCCUGUGGCCGCACAAGGAUGCCAGUCAUUGCCCUCCACGAGGGGAAAAAUCACAUUUUUCCUUGGCAACCAAGCUUUUCUGGGGCUCCUCCCUUCCCACAGCAUCCAGACCUCAUCUGCAUUUUAAGCCUCUUCUGCAGCUUCUCACCAAGUUGAUUAAUGGAAAUAAUUGGUCUCUCCGUGCAUCUGGAGCCAGUUGCCGUGACAGCAGUUGUAUUUGUGUUUUGUUCCCAGGUUGAGCUUGUUUUCUGCAUCCCACAGCUUCAAGGUGCCGCUGUCCCCAUCCCUCGGGCAGCCACACAUCCCUCGGGGCUCAGGGAGACAGGGCUGGUCAGGAUGAGCCCCAGCGCCAUGGGAUGGGGCUGGGGCAGCCCCACAACAUGCAGGGUCCCAGGCUGAGCCCUGGAGCAACAUCUCCGCGUCUCCGUCACUGCCGUCGGGAGGAGCUGGGGACAAAGUGCAUGCAGCCGCCGACCCUCCCCACUGCACCGGCUGGUACCGGUAAGCUUCUGGGAGCACCUCCCUUUAUGGCUUGGCUGGGAGCAUGUUGUUUGUUUUUUCCCCUUUCUCAUCCUCUCUAAGGAACAGGUACUGUGUUGGAAAACUUGUUUUCCGGAUUGUUCCGUUUGUGUGGCUCUGGUGACUCGAAGGAAACCCUCAGCAGUGUGGGGCAGCAGUUGAAUCGAGGCUUUGAAUGUGAAAAUUGAGAUCAAGGUGGUGCAGUAAGGCAAAUAAAAGCUUCUGCUGUUCCUUGUAGACUUUCAGAUUCAUCCCCUGGUUCUGCUACAGACCUGUAUGAGCCCAGGAAAAACACCUGAUUUGUGCCUGGCCCCAGUAGAACAGGGAUGAUGCUAGUGUUUGGUUAUCCAGGCAGGUUGGAGGGAUCAGUGCAAUAACUGGCCCUGAAACAUGGGAGAUCCAGGAAAUAUUAGCAACGUGGAAAAUGUUUUUCAUAGCUGUGUUUUGGGGGGCAGAGUUGUAUGUCUGUGCACAGGCUUCCAAGUGGGCUCAAAAUUCUCUUUUCUUUGGUAUAAGAGAAUGGGGAAGUGAAACAGAGCAUUUUAGCUCAUUUUAGCCUUUACACCUGGUCAGAAUCAGCCACUGUGAGUACAAAAAUGAGCAGCUAGAAGAUGCAGGUCUAUGAAUAUCUUUGGGUUUUAGCAUCUCCACUAUGAUGCUACUUGUGUUGGCAGCCUAUGUACUUUAUUUUAAUGGCCUCCAGCUCUUUGGGGCAUCCAAGUCCUCGCCCUCUGGCAAGUGUCCAUGGCAUGGGGGACAUGGAGCCCAGCGCCCUGUCCUGUGCUCAGGGUGCAGUAAGCUUUGGUGUAGCCAUGUUUGUAAACAGCCAUUUAAUCCGUAUCCAUGCUAUGAAUUAACUCAGCCUUAGAGGAUCUCUUCAUGCAUCCUCGUUUCCCAGACACUGUCCCUCAUCUCAGCAAACACGUGAUGGCUUCUCAGUUGGGUGGCCCCUCAUUUCCAAGGUGGCCCCUUCCAGCCAAGAGUCUAUGAAGCCAAAGCACGUCCCACAGCCACCUGAACGGGGCACGCCAACCUCACCAUGAGCAAGCACAGCCCAGAGCCCGAGGGCUGCGUGUGUCUGACGGCCUCUGCCACCGGCCACACGCUCCCCGUGGAGCUGUCCUCACUGCUGCAGCCGCCCCGCCACAGCCACCUCU